UGUCUUAUUUUUAGGGUUUCACCAGAGUAUUGGCAGGUUUGUCGGGAUUUGUAUUAUCGCCUAUAACUACAUCAGGCUCCUUAACGCACACGAAUGCAGUAUUGCUAGUUCAAAUUGAUGUUCAAGACUCGUUGCAGACAAUGCUGGAAGGUAGCUACAAAUCAGGUCUUUUAAAGAUUGGUCUAAGAACUGCUUUUGCUCACAUAAGUCACUUGGUGGAACAGUACUAUGAGUACAUUCAAGGAUAGCGGAAUAAUAAAACGCUUUCGUGUUUAAAUUGAUAGAAGUAACAAGUUUUAACUUAAUAGACCGCAAAAGCGUCGAUGAAUUUUGUAUAGAACGUUUUCGUAUAGAAACAUGAAGAAAAAAAGAAAUAAUGUAGUAAUAUAUGACACUUGAGUUUAUUUAAAAAUAAUAAAGUAAUUAAAGAUUCACAUAAGUGGUUGC
Orbicella faveolata is the source of this 447-nucleotide long non-coding RNA. Lineage: Eukaryota; Metazoa; Cnidaria; Anthozoa; Scleractinia; Merulinidae. The record is from RefSeq and is a predicted model, not a curated record.